This 252-nucleotide ribosomal RNA is filed under the name uncultured bacterium. Its description in RNAcentral is "partial 16S ribosomal RNA". It matches the Rfam family "Bacterial small subunit ribosomal RNA", at positions 525 to 776 of the family's 1533-position model. The record is from RNAcentral.
ACGGAGGAUCCAAGCGUUAUCCGGAAUCAUUGGGUUUAAAGGGUCCGCAGGCUGUUUUUUAAGUCAGAGGUGAAAUCCUACAGCUCAACUGUAGAACUGCCUUUGAUACUGAAAAACUUGAGUUAUUGUGAAGUGGUUAGAAUGUGUGGUGUAGCGGUGAAAUGCAUAGAUAUCACACAGAAUACCGAUUGCGAAGGCAGAUCACUAACAAUAUACUGACGCUCAUGGACGAAAGCGUGGGGAGCGAACAGG